RNAcentral lists this microRNA (22 nucleotides) under Ornithorhynchus anatinus (platypus). RNAcentral's name for it is "Oan-Mir-1419-P6_3p (mature (guide))". The record is from RNAcentral. Lineage: Eukaryota; Metazoa; Chordata; Mammalia; Monotremata; Ornithorhynchidae.
UGAUAUCAUCACCCAGCACCGC